Molecule: small RNA, 386 nt
Filed under: Pan troglodytes (chimpanzee)
Lineage: Eukaryota; Metazoa; Chordata; Mammalia; Primates; Hominidae
Description: processed transcript
Source: RNAcentral
UCUUUGCAAGCGGAGCCCAGGGAGAAUAUGCUGGACUGGCCACUAUCCGAGCCUACUUAAACCAGAAAGGAGAGGGGCACAGAACGGUUUGCCUCAUUCCGAAAUCAGCACAUGGGACCAACCCAGCAAGUGCCCACAUGGCAGGCAUGAAGAUUCAGCCUGUGGAGGUGGAUAAAUAUGGGAAUAUCGAUGCAGUUCACCUCAAGGCCAUGGAAGAAGUUGCUUAGCAACCGUAUCUGCUUCCCACCAGCGGACUGGCAGCUGCAUCUUAAGCGGGAAGGAAACCAGUGGAAUAGCAAUGUGAUUUUGAUGGUGGUGUUAUUAGGCAUGGAGACUGCGAACGCUGUGCAGUUGCCUUCUAAAGGAAGCUGAAAAUCCACAAUGCU